This 414-nucleotide long non-coding RNA is filed under the name Dermacentor andersoni. RNAcentral's name for it is "uncharacterized LOC126547807". Lineage: Eukaryota; Metazoa; Arthropoda; Arachnida; Ixodida; Ixodidae. The record is from RNAcentral.
AUGUCCCCAAUGGUUAGAUUUUGGGUAAAUCACUUAUUUGAAGGGUUCGUGCUGUAGCUGCGUUUCGAUACAUGAUCGACUGGCCAGCAUCACUGGACAGCCAGAAUGGAAAACAGCGCAUGUCGUAAAGGAACUUUUGCUCCCGACUGUACAUCCGGACGUACACUUUGGACCAGUUUGAUAUGCAACACCUAACCUGUGUUCAAACAGCGUUUUCUGCAAACAUCUUGGCGUAAUCCGACGACGAUGUCGCACUCAACCGCCGCAGAGCACUGUAGGGGUAGCAGUGCGGCACUGGGAACAUGGGAGUCCCGUGUACUGAGAACACGAUGACUCUAAUGUUGGCGGAGACGGGCACUGCUCCCCCUUCGUCUUGGGUGUGAUUACCCAGGGAACAUACUCUGGCGGUCAGCA